RNAcentral lists this ribosomal RNA (887 nucleotides) under human gut metagenome. Its description in RNAcentral is "bacterial SSU rRNA". It matches the Rfam family "Bacterial small subunit ribosomal RNA", at positions 8 to 896 of the family's 1533-position model. The record is from RNAcentral.
AGAGUUUGAUCCUGGCUCAGGAUGAACGCUGGCGGCGUGCCUAAUACAUGCAAGUCGAGCGAGAAUUUUUCAAAUGACACUUCGGUUGAUUUUGGAAAAGGACAGCGGCGGACGGGUGAGUAACGCGUAGGCAACCUGCCCCUGACAGAGGGAUAGCCAUUGGAAACGAUGAUUAAAACCUCAUAAUGCCGAAGGAACACAUGUUUCAUCGGCCAAAGAUUUAUCGGUCAGGGAUGGGCCUGCGUCUGAUUAACUAGUUGGUGAGGUAACGGCCCACCAAGGUGACGAUCAGUAGCCGACCUGAGAGGGUGAUCGGCCACAUUGGAACUGAGACACGGUCCAAACUUCUACGGAAGGCAGCAGUAGGGAAUCUUGCACAAUGGGCGAAAGCCUGAUGCAGCAACGCCGCGUGAAGGAUGAAGGCCUUCGGGUUGUAAACUUCUGUUCUUAGGGAAGAAGAAAGUGACGGUACCUAAGGAGAAAGCCCCGGCUAACUACGUGCCAGCAGCCGCGGUAAUACGUAGGGGGCAAGCGUUAUCCGGAAUUAUUGGGCGUAAAGAGUGCGUAGGUGGUUAUCUAAGCGUAAGGUUUAAGCGUGCAGCUCAACUGCAUCUCGCCUUGCGAACUGGACUACUUGAGUGCAGGAGGGGAAAGCGGAAUUCCUAGUGUAGCGGUGAAAUGCGUAGAUAUUAGGAGGAACACCAGCGGCGAAGGCGGCUUUCUGGACUGUAACUGACACUGAGGCACGAAAGCGUGGGGAGCAAACAGGAUUAGAUACCCUGGUAGUCCACGCCGUAAACGAUGAGCACUAGAUGUUGGUCCCGAAGGGAUCAGUGUCGCAGUUAACGCAAUAAGUGCUCCGCCUGGGGAGUACGCUCGCAAGAGUA